RNAcentral lists this ribosomal RNA (200 nucleotides) under uncultured bacterium. Its description in RNAcentral is "partial 16S ribosomal RNA". It matches the Rfam family "Bacterial small subunit ribosomal RNA", at positions 32 to 222 of the family's 1533-position model. The record is from RNAcentral.
AAUCAACGCUGGCGGCGUGCCUCAGACAUGCAAGUCGGACGAUUAAAGCUCUCUUCGGAGAGUGUAUAGAGUGGCGCACGGGUGAGUAACACGUAAGUAAUCUACCCUCGAGUGGGGAAUAACGUUCGGAAACGAACGCUAAUACCGCAUAAUGCAGCGGCAUCGCAAGAUGACAGUUGUUAAAGGAGUAAUUCGCUUGA